Molecule: ribosomal RNA, 253 nt
Filed under: uncultured bacterium
Lineage: Bacteria
Description: partial 16S ribosomal RNA
Rfam family: Bacterial small subunit ribosomal RNA
Source: RNAcentral
UACGUAGGGCGCAAGCGUUGUCCGGAAUUAUUGGGCGUAAAGCGCACGUAGGCGGAUUGUUAAGUCAGGGGUGAAAUCCUGGAGCUCAACUCCAGAACUGCCUUUGAUACUGGCGAUCUUGAGUCCGGGAGAGGUGAGUGGAACUGCGAGUGUAGAGGUGAAAUUCGUAGAUAUUCGCAAGAACACCAGUGGCGAAGGCGGCUCACUGGCCCGGUACUGACGCUGAGGUGCGAAAGCGUGGGGAGCAAACAGG